Daucus carota subsp. sativus is the source of this 491-nucleotide long non-coding RNA. RefSeq lists it as uncharacterized. Lineage: Eukaryota; Viridiplantae; Streptophyta; Magnoliopsida; Apiales; Apiaceae. The transcript is spliced from 3 exons. The record is from RefSeq and is a predicted model, not a curated record.
GGCAUGAUUUCAUAUCGUAACAGAAGGAACUAGAAUCUUGAUAAUUACGGGGGGAAGAGGUCGAGAUUCUUGAAUCAUUAAGUGCAAACCAAUAAUAUAUAUCAAUUUCUGAUGGUGUGAACGCGAUUACGCGAGUGUUCAGAUGGAGGAAGAGGAUUUUGGCUCUUCAAAAUAAGAAUAGACUCUGGGGGCAGGAAGCAUAACCGUGCACUGCAGAUCAUGUUUUGGAAUCUGAACGAAAGAAAGAGUUAGAAAUAACUGGAGAAGGUGAAGAUUUGAUUUCAGAGGAUUGUGCAAAGGGCUUGAAGAAGUACAAGUACUUCUGCUCGUUUUAAAUAUAUAGGUAUAGGUAUAGAACUUUGGUCUAUAUUUCUUACUUUGAUCCGCUGUUUGUACAAUCGAUCUUGGUGUGCAUUUGUUCAAAGACAAAUCCUCAUUUGUUAUUUGGUUCUCACAUUUUAAGCUUUCCAACGAUAAUAUUUUCUAUUGGU